CAGGACUGGAUGUCUACAUUCAUCUCCACAUCAAGUUCCCAAAGACAGAAAAAAGAAGUUUUACAUUCCAAAUAUCAUACUUUAGGAACUGUCAUGCCUGAAGCCCAUCACUGAGAAGUUGAUUUCUAGACCUGGCCUGGUAUCAUUUUGGUUAAUCCAGACGUCUGAAAGCUGCUCUAGUAGUCUGAGCAGUAGGAUUCCUGCUGAAGUUUUCUCUUGGACAAGGUACCAUGAACACACAUUAUGAGCUUAACAUGAGCCAGGGAUCGUUUCCAUCCCAUACUGUGGAUGGCACCAUCCUGUUAUGAGAGGUGCUGCCACCUCAGCCUCAGGAGGGUUGCCAUCCAUGCUGAGGUGGUCCUCAAGCUGAUCAGCAUCCAGAAGAUUCAGCAGAGCUGGACUGUGGGAAAACUGUGGGAAGGCUUCUUGAGGAACAAGGAAGUCCAAAAGCUCCUGUUCAAGAAUGCAACAGUUGAGGGACAUAUUUUGCUUCCACCUGCUCUCAGACAAACCCAUUACACAGAAGGGAAUAAGAGUUCACUCUUCUGAUAAAUAGUUCAAAAAGGCCAGUAAAAGUAACUUCAGAGAAGUAUAGCUUGCAGCUGAAGUGAAAAGCAAGAAGGUUUGAGUCUUAUGAACACUUUCAUUGGGUCUGGUCUCAAAGAAGCUAAAGGUCUUUAACAGACCCUAGAAUGCCCUCGGAGUUUCUGUGAGCCAGGAACAAUUGCCACUUGCUGUCUGAUGCCAUGAUACUUUGAAGUGUAAUAGUUUAUUCAUAUGGAUACAAGUUCUGCAGAGCCAAAUCACUUCAAGAAAAGAGAACUGCUUUCUCUGGCCAGUGUUUUUACCUUUUCCUGUUAGAUGGAUGUUAUAUAGCUCACACUUGUGUAAUCGUAUUUUUCUAUAUUCAGCAGUGACUUAAGCAUUCUUUUACAUAGACAUAGAUUUAUAUGUAAAUGACAGAGGGAAUAAAACAAACUCAAAUCUUUAUCUCUGUCCAUUAUAUAAUUUUUGAUUUACCCUCUGGUCUACACAAGAGCAUGUGCUUGCUGUGU
Parus major (Great Tit) is the source of this 1055-nucleotide long non-coding RNA. RefSeq lists it as uncharacterized. The record is from RefSeq and is a predicted model, not a curated record. The transcript is spliced from 8 exons. NCBI's taxonomy places the organism in Eukaryota, Metazoa, Chordata, Aves, Passeriformes, Paridae.